RNAcentral lists this small RNA (1575 nucleotides) under Pongo abelii (Sumatran orangutan). RNAcentral's name for it is "retained intron". The record is from RNAcentral. Lineage: Eukaryota; Metazoa; Chordata; Mammalia; Primates; Hominidae.
GGGAUAUGAUCACAUCUGGGAUUCGGGGAAGUCCCUCUCCAGGCAGCUGGAGGAUCUGAGUCCCUGGCCAACCUCAGCACUGAGAAGGGCCGCUCAGCGGGGCUAGAGUUGAGCCGCCGCUGUGCAGCACAGAACAGGGUGGGGCAGGAGCUGGGGCAGGGCCUGGCUGGGAGGGAGCCAGGCAGUGCAGGAGCCAUCCCCUGCCACACUUUCAGUCCAGGGCAGAAGCACAGGAGGCCAAUGCUGGACCUCUCCCCAGGCAUGGUCAGCAGGGAAGGUGCAGCAGGAGGACCAGGAACGGGAGGCUUGGGUGCUUACAUGGCUCCUUGAUGUGUGGGCCUUGAGGUUUCGCUGGAGGGGAGGAUGUGGAGCCAGGAGGGGAUGAAGGACUGCAGGCCGAAGUGAGUGCCAGGAGCAGGGGCUGGGGGGCUACAUGGGUGGGUUGGGGACCAUGCAGGGCAGAGAUCAGCGGAAGGGUGACCUGAAUAUUGGCCGGCGGUCGUGGUCUGUGAGCUGAGGAGGCUCAGGUAGCUGGAACGGGAGCCCCUGCUUGACCCUUCGGGCUGGUAGGGGCAGUGGCUGCAGCCCCUUGGGAGUCAGGGUGUCCUGGUUUCUUCUCAGCCAGGUGAUAGAGGAUGCAAGCCACAGGAAUUCCCAUAGCCUUUGUGUGUGUGUCUGUCUUCUACCUGGGAAAGAGUAAAAAUACUUUCCUGUUCUUUUCUUGUAAAAGUUCAUUAAGGGGCCGGAUGCAGUGGAUUAUGAAUUCCAGAACUUUGGGAGGCUGAGGCAGAUCACCUGAGGUCAGGAGUUCGAGACCAGCCUGGUCAGUAUGGUGAAACACCAUCUCUACUAAAAAUACAAAAAUUAGCUGGGUGUAGUGGCACACACCUGUAAUCCCAGCUACUUGGGAAGCUGAGACAGGAGAAUCGCUUAAACCCUGGAGGUGGAGGUUGCAGUGAGCCAAGAUCGUGCAUCGCACUCCAGCCCGGGCGAUAGAGUGAGACUCUCAAUCAUUAUCAAUCAAUCAGUAAAGCUGAUGAAAAUAAAAAAGCCUGCAAAUUAAUAUUAAUAUGGGCACCCAGGUCUCCUUAAAUUUAGAAUCCUUUCCUCAAAAGUCCCCCUGUUGAUACAGAAACACUUCUGAAGCCAAAUGUGAAGCACCAGUUGACCCGCAGGUGGGGGUGCCGACUGGUAGGCUGUAGGGUUAGCUCUGGCCUCUGGCAGCCAGUUGUCUCCUGAGAAAAUACUGUGGCGUGAAUGCAAAAUGUGAUUCAUCACUUGGCUCCUAAUUUCUUUUGAUUUUGUCCCCUAGAGCAAGGUCCGUGGUCCUGUCAGUGGAAGCCCGGAUAGCAUGAAUGCCUCUCGACUUAGCCAGCCUGGGCAGCUGAUGUCUCAGCCCUCCACGGCCUCCAACAGCUUACCUGAGCCAGCCAAGAAGAGUGAAGAACUGGUGGCUGAAGCACAUAACCUCUGCACCCUGCUAGAAAAUGCCAUACAGGACACCGUGAGGGAACAACACCAGAGUUUCACGGUAACAGCUUGUGUGAGCCUCCUGCGAUUCCAUGUCCUUUCUUU